CCUACGGGAGGCAGCAGUGAGGAAUAUUGGUCAAUGGACGAGAGUCUGAACCAGCCACGUAGCGUGAAGGAUGACUGCCCUAUGGGUUGUAAACUUCUUUUAUAUGGGAAUAAAUUGUUCCAAGUGUGGGAUUUUGUAUGUACCAUAUGAAUAAGGAUCGGCUAACUCCGUGCCAGCAGCCGCGGUAAUACGGAGGAUCCGAGCGGUAUCCGGAUUUAUUGGGUUUAAAGGGAGCGUAGGUGGUUUGUUAAGUCAGUUGUGUAAGUUUGCGGCUCAACCGUAAAAUUGCAGUUGAAACUGGCAGACUAGAGUACAGUAGAGGUAGGCGGAAUUCGAGGUGUAGCGGUGAAAUGCUUAGAUAUAACGAAGAACUCCGAUGGCGAAGGCAGCUUACUGGACUGCAACUGACGCUGAGGGUCGAAAGUGUGGGGAUCAAACAGGAUUAGAUACCCCGGUAGUC
RNAcentral lists this ribosomal RNA (460 nucleotides) under uncultured bacterium. RNAcentral describes it as "partial 16S ribosomal RNA". It matches the Rfam family "Bacterial small subunit ribosomal RNA", at positions 338 to 795 of the family's 1533-position model. The record is from RNAcentral.